This is a long non-coding RNA of Neoarius graeffei (lesser salmon catfish), 184 nucleotides long. RefSeq lists it as uncharacterized. NCBI's taxonomy places the organism in Eukaryota, Metazoa, Chordata, Actinopteri, Siluriformes, Ariidae. The record is from RefSeq and is a predicted model, not a curated record. The transcript has 3 exons.
UUAUGAGGAAUUGGACGCAGUUUUGGGGUGCAGACCCAUGAACAACCCAGGGGAUCAUCGACUGGACAGGGGGAGUUCAGAAGAGGAGGAGAAUGAGGAGUCUUCUGGUGAGUCACCAAGUGGGCAUCAACCGGGUGAAGAUGGUACAGAGGGGGUGGAGGAUGAGGCGGCAGAGGAUGAGGCA